Long non-coding RNA from Polypterus senegalus (gray bichir), 1217 nucleotides. RefSeq lists it as uncharacterized. NCBI's taxonomy places the organism in Eukaryota, Metazoa, Chordata, Cladistia, Polypteriformes, Polypteridae. The transcript has 4 exons. The record is from RefSeq and is a predicted model, not a curated record.
GAAUGAUUUCUUAUCUGAAUAACAGUAUGUGAGAAAACAAGUGUUUCAAGUCUGUAUGGAGACAAACUAGUUUACCCUUUAAAGUGGACCCAACUCCUGAUCUAGCUGAGUGUGCAGAAUGUUUUCUGUUUUUUUAAACUGUCCUUGGUGCUGCACUUCAUCUCUACUCACCCAGUUGUAUAUGUCUCAGAAACUGCAAUGAUUUUCAUCUGACCUCAUUUGUGAAGCGAGGAGACACACAGUGAGGGUACCUGAGCCCCACACACAACAACCCGGGAAGCCCCACCCCUUCCAGUCAACGCCUAUAAGUGUGGAUGUCCUUGGAAGGCGGUUUCUCAGUUGGGCACUAGACCCACUGUAUGUUGGAUGUUCCUGACACAGACUUGCUCAAAAGAGCUCACUAUUAGGAAAUGCCAAGUUAGUCUACAAGGUGAAAUAACAUACAGUAACAAACAAUGAAGGGCUGAGUCCACAUGCAUCUGCAAAAGAAAAAAAAAGUUUAAAGGUUAUUGCCAUGCCAAAAAAGAAAGAAGUGCUGGAUCUGGCCAACAACCUGGAGGGUGCCCAAGCCACUUGGAAACAGAAGGGCUAUUGUAAUUUGGCACCGACUUCGACCCAACCAUUACUUCCCCACAUGAUGGCCAAUCGUCAAAGCAAUGGGUCUCAGCCUUUGCCUGCAACUCAUCCUCACCUCUCCUCAGAGCAAUGUCUGCUGCUACGAGGAACAUUCUAACCCGACCACUGAUCUUGCCCCACCGCUGCUUGUUUUCUGUGUCUGUGUGUAUUGAAGUGGUAGCCCCCAUUUAAAUACAUACCCUGACUGUUCCUGUUUUGAUUGAAGCCUUUGGAUUGAGCAUCUUCUCUGAGGUGCAAGACAUCAUGCAGUGCAUGUGUUUCAUGCAGUGCUUAGAUAUGUAACUACAUGCUCCUGGAUCACUUUCUUGAAUUAGUAUUAUAAGAAAACAAUAUGUUAAAUAAUCAGUUAAACAGUUCAAAAAUAUCUCUACCAACAUUUCAGUACAAGUAAUUUCUCUGGAGCUUUAGCACUAUCUCAGAGGCUCACAAAAGCUGGUUCUAUUAUAUUUCUAAUUAGAAGGUGAGUCUCCUGAGAGGCAAAGAAAAAUAAUCUCAGAUGCAUCUCUGUAUCUUACCCUAAAUAUUUAAGACAUUUUGUUCUGUUAAAAUACAUUGUAUUCCUGGAUGAAACAUUUUGUUAA